Molecule: ribosomal RNA, 478 nt
Filed under: uncultured bacterium
Lineage: Bacteria
Description: partial 16S ribosomal RNA
Rfam family: Bacterial small subunit ribosomal RNA
Source: RNAcentral
GACGAACGCUGGCGGCGCGCCUAAAACAUGCAAGUCGAACGAGAAGCCCGGGCUUGCCCGGGUGGACAGUGGCGAACGGGUGAGUAACACGUGAGGAACCUGCCCCGAAGACCGGGACAACACCGGGAAACCGGUGCUAAUACCGGAUGCCUUCACCGGAUCGCAUGGUCUGGUGAAGAAAUGGAUUCCGCUUCGGGAUGGCCUCGCGGCCUAUCAGCUUGUUGGUGAGGUAACGGCUCACCAAGGCGACGACGGGUAGCUGGUCUGAGAGGAUGUCCAGCCACACUGGGACUGAGACACGGCCCAGACUCCUACGGGAGGCAGCAGUUAGGAAUCUUGCGCAAUGGACGAAAGUCUGACGCAGCGACGCCGCGUGCGGGAUGAAGGCCCUCGGGUUGUAAACCGCUUUCAGCAGGGACGAAAUUGACGGUACCUGCAGAAGAAGCCCCGGCCAACUACGUGCCAGCAGCCGCCGUAA